UCCGUAGGCGGGCAAUUAAGUCAGAGGUGAAAUCCCACAGCUCAACUGUGGGACUGCCUUUGAUACUGGUUGUCUUGAGUUACAGUGAAGUAGAUAGAAUAUGUAGUGUAGCGGUGAAAUGCAUAGAUAUUACAUAGAAUACCGAUUGCGAAGGCAGUCUACUAACUGUAUACUGACGCUAAUGGACGAAAGCGUGGGGAGCGAACAGGAUUAGAUACCCUGGUAGUCC
Molecule: ribosomal RNA, 229 nt
Filed under: uncultured bacterium
Lineage: Bacteria
Description: partial 16S ribosomal RNA
Rfam family: Bacterial small subunit ribosomal RNA
Source: RNAcentral